UAUAAACCACCCCUCAUUCCUAUCCCAGUGAUCGUCUCUCCACCAUCAUCUCCAGGACAAGAGCAAGAGUCCCACUCUCCACCACAACCAUCUUCUGCAUACAAGAAGAGGCACCACUUUCGUUCACCACCAUCUCCAAAACACAAGCACAAACACCACUCUCCACCACCCCUAUCUCUAGAAGACAAGCACUGGCACAACCAACAUCCUCACCACAAGCACCAUUCUGCCCCACCAUCAGGACACAAGCACCAUCAUCACUUGGCUCCGUCACCAAAACAAAACUAGAAAUGG
Molecule: long non-coding RNA, 294 nt
Filed under: Lupinus angustifolius (narrow-leaved blue lupine)
Lineage: Eukaryota; Viridiplantae; Streptophyta; Magnoliopsida; Fabales; Fabaceae
Description: long non-coding RNA (LANG_LNC003049)
Source: RNAcentral